This 742-nucleotide ribosomal RNA is filed under the name uncultured Desulfobulbaceae bacterium. RNAcentral's name for it is "bacterial SSU rRNA". It matches the Rfam family "Bacterial small subunit ribosomal RNA", at positions 59 to 777 of the family's 1533-position model. The record is from RNAcentral. Lineage: Bacteria; Pseudomonadati; Thermodesulfobacteriota; Desulfobulbia; Desulfobulbales; Desulfobulbaceae.
AAGUCGAACGAGAAAGUUUCCUUCGGGAAGCGAGUACAGUGGCGCACGGGUGAGUAACGCGUAGGUAAUCUACCCUUAUGCCUGGGAUAACAUCGGGAAACUGGUGCUAAUACCGGAUAUCCUUCUUGACUGCGGGGUGAAGGAGGAAAGGUGGCCUCUUCAUGAAAGCUACCGCACAGGGAUGAGCCUGCGUACCAUUAGCUAGUAGGCGGGGUAACGGCCCACCUAGGCAACGAUGGUUAGCGGGUCUGAGAGGAUGAUCCGCCACACUGGAACUGGAACACGGACCAGACUCCUACGGGAGGCAGCAGUGAGGAAUAUUGCGCAAUGGGGGAAACCCUGACGCAGCGACGCCGCGUGAGUGAGGAAGGUUUUCGGAUCGUAAAGCUCUGUCAGAAGGGAAGAAAUGCUGCAUGGUUAAUACCCAUGCAGUUUGACGGUACCUUCAAAGGAAGCACCGGCUAACUCCGUGCCAGCAGCCGCGGUAAUACGGAGGGUGCGAGCGUUGUUCGGAAUUACUGGGCGUAAAGGGCGCGCAGGCGGCCUGAUAAGUCAGAUGUGAAAGCCCACGGCUCAACCGUGGAAGUGCAUUUGAAACUGUCUGGCUUGAGUAUCGGAGGGGAGUGUGGAAUUCCCGGUGUAGAGGUGAAAUUCGUAGAGAUCGGGAGGAACACCGGUGGCGAAGGCGACACUCUGGACGAAUACUGACGCUGAGGCGCGAAAGCGUGGGGAGCAAACAGGA